GGACUUGCGCCGCCUCAUUAGCAUUUAAAGGGGCCGCACCGUGGUCGCGGCUGGACCGAGUGAGCGGGGGACGGCGUGGGGAUCGGCCCCGGUGAGGUGAGGGGCGCGCGCGGGCGCGGUACGCGCGUGAAUGUGGCCGUGCGAUGUACAGGUGGCCGUGUGUGCACGCACGAGUGCGGCUGUGGGUACGAGAGAGUGUGCGUGUGGAGCUGAGCGGAGCUGAGCUGAGCUGAGCUGAGCACCGCGCGUGUAUGCCCGUCCGUAUCUGUGGGUACCUGCAAGAAUCCCUCUGUGCGUGGGGUUGUGUAUAGAUACAUACGCACACACAACUGCAGUCGAGAGUCCGAGAUGUCAGUAGGCGCGUGGCCGCAUAUUGCUGCUUGCUCCCACGCGUGUGCAGACAAACGUGCUCUGACGGCGGUGUCUGUGAGCACAUCUGCCCCGUACCCUGUAUGGGCAGAACGGCUCGUUUUGGACGGGAGUUCGUGUGCUCUCCGUUGGGAACAAACGGCUCGAUGAGGUGAGCCUAAGAGUGCGUGCGUGUUGGUUUUGUUGCCCCUGUUUCUUUCCAUGCUGCUAUUUCCUUACCCGUGGUAUAAUCUGCAACCCCUCGAAUUUAUUUUCAUCCCACUGCCUCCUCUUUCUCUUGCAGUUGUGCUUCUAGCUCUCUCACCUUCCUUCCUGUCUUUUUUUCCUCCUCCUCCCAGUUUUUGAACAGCCUCCUUAAGUGGCCUUUUGAUGAUGUUUCUGCUCAGAGAGCACUUUUGCAGUUUGCCGCAUAGCCAUUGUACGUUAUUCCCUCUGCCUUGAAUCUUUCAUUCCCUACAAGGUAGAGAACAUCUGUUCAUGCAUCAUGCACCUUUGUCUUCUCCACUUUCUUCAAGUUCAGCUUUGCUACUCUGUGUUCAUGAAUGCUCAAAGAACAUGGGGUCACAUUCAUUUCUCCCUUUGUGUCCCACUUCUUGACAAUCAGUUGAUAGUUUUCAUAACAAAAAUAAAGGUCUUUAAAGGAGCCCCUGCUGAAUAUCACUCAGCAAUACCAACAUUGACUCCAAGAAAGUCUCAGAUGUUCCUUGGCAAGGCACUUCAUAGGUCCAAAGUUUUUGGCACAUUGAGGCUUCACUGAGUGAAGAGGAAUUGUCUUGGACUGCAUAUAAUGUAUGUAAGUAACAAAACUCCUUUUAUUUUUUACUGAAACAUUUUGAAAAGGAAAACAACAAAACAAAACUAGUGGGAUAUUUGACCUGGGUUUUGUGAAACUAAUGCAUCAGUGUCUGGUUCAAUGGAAGCGGUUGCAAUUCUCCAUGAGUUCUUGAGGUGUUCAUCAAAGAUUUUUGAUGAAAUUUUGUGCUUCCUGCAUUUCAGCCUUGACAACAUCUGUUGACAGAUGUACAUGCUGCCAAAAAGUGAUGACACAAAUAAGGUGUGAUUGUGAAGUGAGAGAUAUUUUACAACUGAUAGGGCGGGUCUGAUCAAAGUUUACUUCAUCAAAUUUUUGACUUGAAUAUCUGAUGGCAACUCUAUACAUUCCACUAAAAAAAUUGCAGGCAACGUACAUCAACUGAAAAUGGAGUUGUGCAUAUACCAAAAAAAGAUGAUUUUUUUUGGCAUCUUGAAAUCUAUUCUAAAAUUCUGUUAUCAAAACAGAAAGCAUGGCUGCAUAUUCACUGUUUAUAGAACUGUGUUCAACCAAUGUCUCAAAAUGCAUAAAAUGUGCCAGAACUUGAGCUUGCCAGCAUUUAAUAUUCAUUUCAGACUCUGUUACAGUUUGAAACAUAGCACAUACAAGUUGAUUUUCACUAUGAAGAUGCAUGUUUAACUCAUUAAAAUUAGUGGUGAAAUCCACCAAAAAAAAAUUACAGAUUAUUUUGUACUUUUUGUACUCUUGUUGAGACUUUGAAAAUUAUAAAAUGUAUUGGUACCACACAGCUAUUCUAGAUGUUUCUUCCACAAUAAAUGUGUUAACUUAUUAAAUUAUCUUACAGAAUAACACAAGCUGUAGUUUAAUAAUUAAAUAAGAAAGCAUACGUGUCUGCAUGUACAGAAAGUGGAUACAACUUGGAUACAAACAUGUGCAGGUAGGUUGCAAUGUUAUUAUCAGUGAUCACAAUGUUUUACUUACCAAGUUCACAAGCACACGUAAUAUGCCAUACUGAUACAUAUGCCAUUCUGAUACAACUGAGUGUGUGUGGUGGGUGCAAAAGGCAGAAUUAGCCCUGUUAGCCCUGGCCCUUCAGCCAGUUUUCACUUCACUUUGGUCUGCUCAUAUCAUUAACUUCUCUAUAUGGAUCUUUUUGGAGACAAUGUCCAAGUCUUACUAAAUGAGGUCCAGGAAUACAAUAUCCAGUGCUUUCUCCUCAUCUACUAGGCCAGUCAUUUCAUCAUACAAGGUUAUCAGAAUGGUCAAACUUGUCUUCCCUUUGGUUAUUCCUGAAAGACACCCUCUUGUCCUUCACAUGCCUGAAAAUGGUUUCUAGGUUUACCUGCUCCACCAGUUUUCCAGGGACUGAGUUGAAUCUGACUGACUUGUAGUUUACUGAAAACUCCUUCUUGUUCUUCUUGAAGACAGGAGUGAUAUAUGCUUUCCUUCUGUCUUUGAGCUCUUCAACACAUUGCCAUUAUUAAUCAAGGAUUAUCAAGGAGAUCUCGCAGUGACAUCUGCCAAGUCUCUCGUAGUUGCAUCUCAUCAUGGCCUGUUAUUAUGUCCAGUGUACUUAAGUAUUCCCUGAUCUAAUUCUCCCUGAAAAGGUUACAUAUGCCUUGCUCCAGCCUUCUCCUGGACUCAGGCCUGGGAUUAACCAAGGCCACUCUUAGUGGUAAAGGCUGAGGCAAAGAAGGCAUUCAGUACCUCAGUAAUGUCCAUGUCAUAUAUAACCAUGAACUCCUGAAUUCUUUAUGCCCUGCUGUAUUGUCCUUCCAACAGGCAUGGGGCGUGUUUAAAAAUCUCCAUGAUUACCAGGGCUUGCCAAUGGGUACUACUUCUGACUAACUGUAGGCCUCAUUCAUUUGUAAAGACAGGCAGAUGGUCAGGUGGCCAGAUUGUCUGUAGUUGCAGUCUGUAGUGGCAGACUUCAACUACAAUGUCACCCAUAAUGGUUUGCUCUUUAUCUCUUGUAUUACUCACAUCUUGUGUUGGUUCCUUAUCCAUUCCCAGGCAGAACUCCAGGCACACCAACUCCUCUGUCACAUCAAGGGCAACUCUACCUCAUUUUUCAGUCUGUCCUUUCCUAAACAGUUGCAUCCCUCCACUGAAACACUCUAGUCAUAUGAGGCAACCUACCAUGUGUCUCUGAUGCCUAUGAGACGAUAGCUGUGCAAUCGCGCAUCUCUGAUUCCUUGUGUUUAUUCCCCAUGCUGCAUAUAUUGUUGAGCAAGCAUUUCAUAGUGGCACCUUAUAUCCUGAUUUCUUAGAAAUGGUCUAUUGGGAUUUUUAUCUUCCAGUGGGAUCUAAUAAUAGAAGAAAUCGAAACCGUGUUGUAAACACCAGCUCUGCAACCAGUUGUUGAUAUAGUCCCUUCCUCCUCCUCACACUGUUUUCCCUCUUUGGCAGGAUGGAGGAUCACCAAGUCCUUGACCAUCACCUCAAAAUGAACAGAUGAUGCAUUUUUAUGGAAAAGAACCCCUAGACAUUUCUAAAAAUUAUUUUCAGGCCACUCUUUCUUAAUUCAUAGGUCCAUAGCACAUCAACAUCUUUCUAACACUGUAAGUUGGGGAAAUGUCAAGCUAACGCAUGUAGUUUUAGUUGCUCAUAAUUUGACCAAACUGUAAUGGCUUGGACUGAAAUUCAUAAUUUUUGUGUGAAAAGUUCAGCAGAAGAUACUCAGCUCUGAAAAUAAGGGCUCUGUUUCAUUAUUUUUGCCUCUCAAGUCCUAUUAUAACCUGAAAGUCUGUGAUUGCAUUCCUUUGUACAGAACUUGCUUACUCUGUGCUAGCUGUGGAAAAGUUUUGGAAAAUAAAGACAUUCAAAGCUGAAGAACUGACUUUAAAAUGGAAAACAUCCAUCUUCCCUGGUCUAGUUGGAAAUGUAAGAGACUACUUGUGCUUUAAACAUGAAUUUAAACCACAGAUUCAAGAUAGAAUUUGUCCUACAGUAUGCUCUUACAUACAUGCUAGCAUAUUUAGGACCUUAUGUUCACUACAGCUGGUACAUGUGUUGAUGUUGUCCUAAUAUUGGUAAUACAAUGAUCUGCCACAGGCAGGUCAUUUAAACUCUUCUCUUUACCUUCCAUAUGGAAAAUUUAAGGUUAUGGCAUUCAUGUAACAACAACAACAAUUAAAAUGCAAGGUUUGAUCUACUGAGUCAGUGGAAGAAUGAACUUGUGAUUAAGCCUGAAGUGUAUGAUAGGAUCUAAAAUGUAUAGGAUUGAUGUACUGAUCUUAAUUACUUUUACAUCACAGUUUUCUGUUACCAACAGAAAUUUGAGAAGUAUUUCUUAAACACAAUACCUAGUAUUGAUUUGAAGUCAAUUUGUUGACGUUUUGCAAAAUCCAGCCACUUUGGUUUUGUGGUAUCUUGGUGUUCUGUUUUUUUUUUGGAGGGAGGGGUGAUGUUGUUGUUUUAUUUGUUUAUUAUUGAAGACUUCUAUUAAGAAAAAGUACCUCACACUGACUUUAUUGUAAAAUAUUGAUAGCUUGUAAGUCCUUUAAUCUAGAAAGAGUCAGAACAGUUUAUAGAUUAAAUAUCUGCAGGACACAGCAGAUGAAAGCAAAAUGCUGCUCCACCAGCCUGUGUUCAGAAUACACAUUAUUUUUAGUAAUGAUGUAGGAGAGAAACAAAGAAUCUAAUCUAACAAAUAUUCCACUUUGAAGCUAUGGUAGUCUCUCUUGGAAAUAUAUAUAUAUAUAUAAUAGGUAGGAAAGCAAAAGACUCCAGCAGUCAUUUUGAUUGAUCUUCGUGUUGCCCUGUAAGAAUCUCCAAACCCACUCUGAGAAACUUGAUGCUGAACAUGGGACUUCUUUUUUUUUCAGUAGACAAUUUAUCUGAGAAUACAGUGAAAUUGGAUUGCAUUCAUCAAUGUAUUUACCCAAAAUAAAAUUAACAAAGUACACGAAAAUGUUAAAGAAUUCAUUUGAAUGUGCUAAAUGGUUGUGUUGGUAGUCUACAUACCAUUAUGCUGCUUCAGCACGGCAAAUGAAGAACAGUCCAUCACAGAACAGCCCUCAGCUUCACACUGUGCUAGGAAGUGUUGGAUCAAAGGACUGAUGUGUUCUACCAGAAGAUGUAGUUCAAAUUUGGUUGCAGUAUCUGAGAAUUAUUGCCUGUAAAUAAUGUUGGAUGCAAUCCAGAUGGAGGGACUUAAAUGGGCUGUUAGUAUUUCCAGCAGGCCUUGUGUGUAACAAAAUGCAGGAAAGCUUAUGAGCAAUGUCAUUUUGACUAUUUGGAUAGCUCUGAAAUACCAAGAACCUGUUUGCAGGCCAGAGUUGAAAGACAUGCACUCAAGAAAAAGCUGCUGCUUCUAGAGAAUAAGAGUUUCUUUGCUAAGAGAUCAAGGAUCAGACCAAUGGUCUGCAAAGGCUGUGGAAAAUUCUCUGUUGACAAACUUACAUCUAAAAAAUUUUGAUCAAUUCCCAAGUCUGUCAAAAACUGGAUAGCUGACAAGGCUAAAAUAUAAUACUGUACUGCCAUGCCAGUAUGCCUUUUAAUGAAGAAACUGAGGAAGAAAUCUAGCACAAGCUUGCUAGAGUUGUUCUCAGGCUCACUUGGUGCCCAGGAUGCCUCUGUUGACUCAUUGUCCUCACUCAGCUUCCCUGCUUUGUACUAUCCUUCAGAAGAGAGCUCUUCUCAAUGCAGAGGCUUAUAUUCCAGGAUAAUUCAUACCCUUCACUACAGUGUAGUAUUUUCAAAUUAUGUUGAAAAAAGUACAAGCAUUAGUGUGCACAGACUAAAGAAGCCUCUGUGUUAAUCUUCUAGUAGUAGAACCUUAAAGCCAGCUGAAUUGCACAUACAUGCACUGAACCUUCUUGUGUGUCUUUGGCUCCUUUCUAAGCUACUAAGUACAGCUAACACAGGGAAAGCCUGUUCCCCUACCUGUGACUUCUAGCAUCUUGUCCUUGCCGCAGGCACAGAACUCAUCCUUUCCUUCUACCCUACCUAAAUCUGCAUUGGCUUCCUCCUCCAUUUCUUUUCUCUGGAUGCUCCCUUUUAUCACUUAUCCAGCCAAGACUUCAUGCAGUGUCACAUGGAUUAAUGUUACAUAAAGUGAAUUCACAAUA
Molecule: long non-coding RNA, 6213 nt
Organism: Tympanuchus pallidicinctus (lesser prairie-chicken)
Lineage: Eukaryota; Metazoa; Chordata; Aves; Galliformes; Phasianidae
Exons: 3
Source: RefSeq, a predicted model, not a curated record